RNAcentral lists this transfer RNA (82 nucleotides) under Danionella translucida. It matches the Rfam family "tRNA". From Rfam's summary of the family: Transfer RNA (tRNA) molecules are approximately 80 nucleotides in length. Their secondary structure includes four short double-helical elements and three loops (D, anti-codon, and T loops). Further hydrogen bonds mediate the characteristic L-shaped molecular structure. tRNAs have two regions of fundamental functional importance: the anti-codon, which is responsible for specific mRNA codon recognition, and the 3' end, to which the tRNAs corresponding amino acid is attached (by aminoacyl-tRNA synthetases). tRNAs cope with the degeneracy of the genetic code in two manners: having more than one tRNA (with a specific anti-codon) for a particular amino acid; and 'wobble' base-pairing, i.e. permitting non-standard base-pairing at the 3rd anti-codon position. Lineage: Eukaryota; Metazoa; Chordata; Actinopteri; Cypriniformes; Danionidae. The record is from Rfam by way of RNAcentral. RNAcentral also lists the same sequence under 1 other name.
GUUGUUGUGGCCGAGUGGUUAAGGCAUUGGACUUGAAAUCCAUUUCGGUUUCUCUGCACAUGUCAAAAUCCUUACAAUAACG